UUAACGGAAAAAGCUUUAUGCGCCGAAGGAUGAGCCUGCACUUGAUUAGUUUGUUGGUAGGGUAAUGGCCUACCAAGACUUUGAUCUAUAGCUGAUCUGAGAGGAUGAUCAGCCACAUUGGGACUGAGACACGGCCCAAACUCCUACGGGAGGCAGCAGUAGGGAAUAUUGCACAAUGGAGGAAACUCUGAUGCAGCGAUGCCGCGUGAGUGAAGAAGGCCUUUGGGUUGUAAAGCUCUUUCGUCGGGGAAGAAAAUGACUGUACCCGAAUAAGAAGGUCCGGCUAACUUCGUGCCAGCAGCCGCGGUAAUACGAAGGGACCUAGCGUAGUUCGGAAUUACUGGGCUUAAAGAGUUCGUAGGUGGUUAAAAAAGUUGGUGGUGAAAUCCCAGAGCUUAACUCUGGAACUGCCAUCAAAACUUUUUAGCUAGAGUAUGAUAGAGGAAAGCAGAAUUUCUAGUGUAGAGGUGAAAUUCGUAGAUAUUAGAAAGAAUACCAAUUGCGAAGGCAGCUUUCUGGAUCAUUACUGACGCUGAGGAACGAAAGCAUGGGUAGCGAAGAGGAUUAGAUACCCUCGUAGUCCAUGCCGUAAACGAUGUGUGUUAGACGUUGGAAAUUUAUUUUCAGUGUCGCAGCGAAAGCAUUAAACACACCGCCUGGGGGAGUACGACCGCAAGGUUAAAACUCAAAUGAAUUUGACGGGGACCCGCACAAGUAGUGGGAGCAUGUGGUUUAAUUCGAAGAUACGCGCAGAACCUUUACCAACACUUGACAUGUUCG
Molecule: ribosomal RNA, 780 nt
Filed under: uncultured Pelagibacterales bacterium
Lineage: Bacteria; Pseudomonadati; Pseudomonadota; Alphaproteobacteria; Candidatus Pelagibacterales
Description: bacterial SSU rRNA
Rfam family: Bacterial small subunit ribosomal RNA
Source: RNAcentral